Molecule: ribosomal RNA, 2352 nt
Filed under: Acinetobacter baumannii
Lineage: Bacteria; Pseudomonadati; Pseudomonadota; Gammaproteobacteria; Moraxellales; Moraxellaceae
Description: bacterial LSU rRNA
Rfam family: Bacterial large subunit ribosomal RNA
Source: RNAcentral
UGGUGUGACUGCGUACCUUUUGUAUAAUGGGUCAGCGACUUAUAUUCAGUAGCGAGGUUAACCGUAUAGGGGAGCCGUAGAGAAAUCGAGUCUUAAUAGGGCGUUUAGUUGCUGGGUAUAGACCCGAAACCAGGCGAUCUAUCCAUGAGCAGGUUGAAGGUUGGGUAACACUAACUGGAGGACCGAACCCACUGUCGUUGAAAAGCCAGGGGAUGACUUGUGGAUAGGGGUGAAAGGCUAAUCAAGCCUGGUGAUAGCUGGUUCUCCCCGAAAGCUAUUUAGGUAGCGCCUCGGACGAAUACCAUAGGGGGUAGAGCACUGUUUCGGCUAGGGGGUCAUCCCGACUUACCAAACCGAUGCAAACUCCGAAUACCUAUGAGUACUAUCCGGGAGACAGACUGCGGGUGCUAACGUCCGUAGUCAAGAGGAAAACAAUCCAGACCGCCAGCUAAGGCCCCAAAAUCAUAGUUAAGUGGGAAACGAUGUGGGAAGGCAUAGACAGCUAGGAGGUUGGCUUAGAAGCAGCCACCCUUUAAAGAAAGCGUAAUAGCUCACUAGUCGAGUCGGCCUGCGCGGAAGAUGUAACGGGGCUAAAACUAUGUGCCGAAGCUGCGGAUGUAUACUUUGUAUACGUGGUAGGGGAGCGUUCUGUAAGCCGAUGAAGGUGUGUUGAGAAGCAUGCUGGAGGUAUCAGAAGUGCGAAUGCUGACGUGAGUAACGACAAAACGGGUGAAAAACCCGUUCGCCGAAAGACCAAGGGUUCCAGUCCAACGUUAAUCGGGGCUGGGUGAGUCGACCCCUAAGGCGAGGCCGAAAGGCGUAGUCGAUGGGAAAAUGGUUAAUAUUCCAUUACUUCUGUGUAAUGCGAUGAGAGGACGGAGAAGGCUAAAUCAGCCUGGCGUUGGUUGUCCAGGUGAAAGGAUGUAGGCAUGUAUCUUAGGCAAAUCCGGGGUACUCUAUGCUGAGAUCUGAUAGCAAGCUGUACUUGUACAGCGAAGUGGUUGAUGCCAUGCUUCCAGGAAAAGUCUCUAAGCUUCAGUUACACAGGAAUCGUACCCGAAACCGACACAGGUGGUCAGGUCGAGUAGACCAAGGCGCUUGAGAGAACUCUGCUGAAGGAACUAGGCAAAAUGGUACCGUAACUUCGGGAGAAGGUACGCUGUUGUUGGUGAUGGAACUCGCUUCCUGAGCUGACGACAGCCGCAGAAACCAGGCCGCUGCAACUGUUUAUUAAAAACAUAGCACUCUGCAAACACGAAAGUGGACGUAUAGGGUGUGAUGCCUGCCCGGUGCUGGAAGGUUAAUUGAUGGGGUUAGCGUAAGCGAAGCUCUUGAUCGAAGCCCCAGUAAACGGCGGCCGUAACUAUAACGGUCCUAAGGUAGCGAAAUUCCUUGUCGGGUAAGUUCCGACCUGCACGAAUGGCAUAAUGAUGGCGGCGCUGUCUCCAGCAGAGGCUCAGUGAAAUCGAAAUCGCUGUGAAGAUGCAGUGUACCCGCGGCUAGACGGAAAGACCCCGUGAACCUUUACUGCAGCUUGACACUGAACUUUGACCUUACUUGUGUAGGAUAGGUGGGAGGCUUUGAAGCUGGAACGCUAGUUCCAGUGGAGCCGUCCUUGAAAUACCACCCUGGUAAUGUUGAGGUUCUAACUCUGUCCCGUGAUCCGGGACGAGGACCGUGUCUGGUGGGUAGUUUGACUGGGGCGGUCUCCUCCUAAAGAGUAACGGAGGAGUACGAAGGUGCGCUCAGCGUGGUCGGAAAUCACGCGUAGAGUAUAAAGGCAAAAGCGCGCUUAACUGCGAGACCCACAAGUCGAGCAGGUACGAAAGUAGGUCUUAGUGAUCCGGUGGUUCUGUAUGGAAGGGCCAUCGCUCAACGGAUAAAAGGUACUCUGGGGAUAACAGGCUGAUACCGCCCAAGAGUUCAUAUCGACGGCGGUGUUUGGCACCUCGAUGUCGGCUCAUCUCAUCCUGGGGCUGAAGCAGGUCCCAAGGGUAUGGCUGUUCGCCAUUUAAAGAGGUACGCGAGCUGGGUUUAGAACGUCGUGAGACAGUUCGGUCCCUAUCUACCGUGGGCGCUGGAAAUUUGAGAGGAUCUGCUCCUAGUACGAGAGGACCAGAGUGGACGAACCUCUGGUGUACCGGUUGUGACGCCAGUCGCAUCGCCGGGUAGCUAUGUUCGGAAGGGAUAACCGCUGAAAGCAUCUAAGCGGGAAGCCUACCUCAAGAUAAGAUUUCCCUAGGACUUUAUGUCCUCUAAAGAGCCGUUCGAGACUAGGACGUUGAUAGGUUGGAUGUGGAAGCAUAGUGAUAUGUGAAGCUGACCAAUACUAAUUGCUCGUGAGGCUUGACU